Molecule: non-coding RNA, 47 nt
Filed under: Caenorhabditis brenneri
Lineage: Eukaryota; Metazoa; Nematoda; Chromadorea; Rhabditida; Rhabditidae
Description: sRNA CBN34277
Rfam family: Histone 3' UTR stem-loop
About the family: The mRNAs of metazoan histone genes lack a poly-A tail. 3' end processing occurs at a site between a highly conserved stem-loop (modelled by this family) and a purine rich region around 20 nts downstream (the histone downstream element, or HDE).
Source: RNAcentral
CCAACGGCCCUCUUUAGGGCCACAAUUAUCUAAGUAAUCCUAAAUUU